GUCCACGCCGUAAACGAUGUCAACUAGCCGUUGGAGAUCUUAGUAUCUUUAGUGGCGUAGCUAACGCGCUAAGUUGACCGCCUGGGGAGUACGGUCGCAAGAUUAAAACUCAAAUGAAUUGACGGGGGCCCGCACAAGCGGUGGAGCAUGUGGUUUAAUUCGACGCAACGCGAAGAACCUUACCUGGUCUUGACAUCCUACGAACUUUCCAGAGAUGGAUUGGUGCCUUCGGGAACGUAGUGACAGGUGCUGCAUGGCU
This 259-nucleotide ribosomal RNA is filed under the name uncultured bacterium. RNAcentral's name for it is "partial 16S ribosomal RNA". It matches the Rfam family "Bacterial small subunit ribosomal RNA", at positions 793 to 1050 of the family's 1533-position model. The record is from RNAcentral.